This is a long non-coding RNA of Drosophila ananassae, 804 nucleotides long. RefSeq lists it as uncharacterized. NCBI's taxonomy places the organism in Eukaryota, Metazoa, Arthropoda, Insecta, Diptera, Drosophilidae. The record is from RefSeq and is a predicted model, not a curated record. The transcript has 2 exons.
UUCAAGGCCUACUCAUUCCAUGAAAUUCAGUUCAAAAGUCAUAAUGUUGAUGUUGAAUACAAGGCUGAAAAAAAUUUCGGUCCAAGUAGGCCUUCUUAAAGUAGCUACAAUACAAGUAUAUAUACACAUUUAUACAACUAACAUAAUACAAUUACCUCACAAUGCUGAGUACGUUAAACAGACCCUUACACAGUUUGGAGCUCAUCCUUCUGGGAUCAAGGAUUUCUGGAGUUUAAAGUGGAAUGGAAGAGCAUAAGCGGUGGCGGUUGAAGCAAGAUUUCCUACACAGGAAAAGACUUAGCAGUUUACCCCCUCGUAGUGUCAUAAUUUUUCGGCUCGUCCGGAGGAAUCAUCACUCGAUCUACGUCCAACCUCCGCUGAGACCUUGCAUGCAGUUCGGUGAUAUGUCUUCAAGGCAGCAAUGACGACUGGAGACUGCGCAUGAUUUUAUUUUUAGGAAAGAACUACCUUCCUUUUGUUAAAAGUGUCAUAAAGAAUUAUCUAUUGACACUGACCUAGAAGACGGCACCACUCCCAUCUAAUGAAUAUGUAUCUCUCUCCAAUCAACAAUAUUUAUUAAUAUUAAUAACAAUAUUAUUAAUAUUUAUUCAAUAUUGAAAUUUACAAAAGUUACUAGCGUAUAUCACUUUAUUUAAAGCGUUUUAUAUCAGAGACCAUGCUAAAUCCUUAAAUUAUAUUUAUCUUAAGAUCUUCGAUGUUGUAGCUAGACUCUCUCCCUGGAGAGAUGAUGGUCAAGUACAUCUUUACCAGAAAAAAAUAAACUUCAUUUAAGACUUAUGGGAA